AAAGUUUAUCUUCUGUUUAUCUCGUACUUUAUCUGUUACUAGUUAAGUGCUGCUGAAGAGGCGGAGGGAGCUUCUCUGUAUGACUUGGUGGUCACGGUGCCGCACAUCCUGGAUGCUCGCACGGGUGGUAAUCUGGUCGCACACAUUAAAGUGGGUGAGACCUACCAUCAAAGAAAAGAGGGAGUCACACACCAGCAGUGGUACCUUUUCAAUGACUUCCUCAUUGAACCAAUUGAUAAAACUGAGGCUGCACAGUUUGAUGUGAGCUGGAAAGUGCCAGCCAUCCUGUAUUACGCUAAGAGAAACUACCACACCAAAUACGACCUCCGCAUUAAAAAUCCCAUAGAUGCUAGCGUGCUGCUCACAGAGGCGUCACUGGCUCGGAAGCAGAGGAAGACACAUGCCACUUUUAUCCCUCUCAUGGUCAGUGAGAUGCCGCAGGCUGGUGAUCUGGUGGGGCUGGACGCUGAGUUUGUAACACUCA
Non-coding RNA from Neolamprologus brichardi, 484 nucleotides. The record is from RefSeq and is a predicted model, not a curated record. NCBI's taxonomy places the organism in Eukaryota, Metazoa, Chordata, Actinopteri, Cichliformes, Cichlidae.